Molecule: ribosomal RNA, 496 nt
Filed under: uncultured bacterium
Lineage: Bacteria
Description: bacterial SSU rRNA
Rfam family: Bacterial small subunit ribosomal RNA
Source: RNAcentral
UGGGGAAUCUUGCACAAUGGGCGAAAGCCUGAUGCAGCAACGCCGCGUGCGGGAAGACAGCCCUAGGGUUGUAAACCGCUUUCAGCAGGGAAGAAACUGACGGUACCUGCAGAAGAAGAUGCGGCCAACUACGUGCCAGCAGCCGCGGUGACACGUAGGCAUCAAGCGUUAUCCGGAUUUAUUGGGCGUAAAGAGCUCGUAGGCGGUUCGGUAAGUCGGGUGUGAAAACUCUGGGCUCAACCCAGAGAGGCCACUCGAUACUGCUGUGACUAGAGUGCGGUAGGGGGAGCGGGGAAUUCCUGGUGUAGCGGUGAAAUGCGCAGAUAUCAGGAGGAACACCAGUGGCGAAGGCGCCGCUCUGGGCCGUAACUGACGCUGAGGAGCGAAAGCAUGGGUAGCAAACAGGAUUAGAUACCCUGGUAGUCCAUGCCGUAAACGUUGGGCACUAGGUGUGGGUCUCAACCAACGAGAUCCGCGCCGUCGCUAACGCAUUAAG